GCAUUAGUGGUUCAGUGGUAGAGUGCGUGCUUGCCACGCGGGCGACCCGGGCUCGAUUCGCGGAAAGUGCA
Molecule: non-coding RNA, 71 nt
Organism: Parelaphostrongylus tenuis
Lineage: Eukaryota; Metazoa; Nematoda; Chromadorea; Rhabditida; Metastrongylidae
Source: the annotation of a GenBank genome assembly